Molecule: unclassified non-coding RNA, 389 nt
Filed under: soil metagenome
Description: partial contains 5.8S ribosomal RNA, internal transcribed spacer 2, and large subunit ribosomal RNA
Rfam family: 5.8S ribosomal RNA (bases 1-121)
Source: RNAcentral
GAUGAAGAACGGCAGUGAAAUGCGAUAAGUAAUGUGAAUUGCAGAAUUCAGUGAAUCAUCGAAUCUUUGAACGCACCUUGCGCUCGUCGGUAUUCCGACGAGCAUGCCUGUUUGAGUCUCAUGAAUCUCUCAAACCUCGAAAGUUUGCGCUUUCGAUGGCUUUGGACUUGGAGGUCUAUGCCGGCGCGAGUCGGCUCCUCUCUAAAUGCAUUAGCUCGGAUCAUACGUGUCGAUCUGCGGUGUGAUAAACGUCUACGUCGCGGCAUUUGACACCUCGCUUUUUUGCGAGCUGGUCUGGCUUCUAAUCGCCUUCGGGCAACACAUCUGACAUCUGAGCUCAAAUCAGGUAGGACUACCCGCUGAACCUAAGCAUAUCAAUAAGCGGAGGA